GUAAGAAUAAUGAUCCAUUAGA
This 22-nucleotide microRNA is filed under the name Acyrthosiphon pisum (pea aphid). RNAcentral describes it as "api-miR-3020". Lineage: Eukaryota; Metazoa; Arthropoda; Insecta; Hemiptera; Aphididae. The record is from miRBase by way of RNAcentral.